This 73-nucleotide transfer RNA is filed under the name Pseudobacteriovorax antillogorgiicola. It matches the Rfam family "tRNA". Rfam says of the family: Transfer RNA (tRNA) molecules are approximately 80 nucleotides in length. The record is from Rfam by way of RNAcentral. Lineage: Bacteria; Pseudomonadati; Bdellovibrionota; Oligoflexia; Oligoflexales; Pseudobacteriovoracaceae.
CGGGGCGUAGCGCAGUUGGUAGCGCGCGUGCUUUGGGAGCAUGAGGUCGCAGGUUCGAUCCCUGUCGCCCCGA